UGUUUAUUGAAUAUCUAUAAUAAAUAAGCCCUGCCCAGUGAAAAUUUUCAACGGCCGCGGUAUCCUAACCGUGCAAAGGUAGCAUAAUCACUUGUCUAUUAAUUGUAGACUAGAAUGAAUGGGAUAACGAAAUAAGAUCUAUCUAAAAGAUUUCUAUAUAAACUAAUAUUUAAGUGAAGAAGCUUAAAUAAAAUAACAGGACAAGAAGACCCUAUAGAGCUUUAGUACAAAUAAAUAAUAUUUAUUAAAACUUCGGUUGGGGCGACCCAGGAUAAAUCAUCCUGAUAAAAUAAGACUUAUUAGUCUAAAAAUGAACAUAUUAAGAUUAAAGAUCAAGCUACCUUAGGGAUAACAGGCUAAUCUUUCUAUAGAGUCCACAUCUAAAGAAAGGAUUGGCACCUCGAUGUUGGCUUAGAGAAUCAAAUUGGCGCAGCAGUCAAUAAAUGAAGGUUUGUUCAACCUAUAAUUCUC
RNAcentral lists this ribosomal RNA (471 nucleotides) under Enchytraeus bigeminus. Its description in RNAcentral is "partial 16S ribosomal RNA". It matches the Rfam family "Bacterial large subunit ribosomal RNA", at positions 1816 to 2596 of the family's 2925-position model. The record is from RNAcentral. Lineage: Eukaryota; Metazoa; Annelida; Clitellata; Enchytraeida; Enchytraeidae.